RNAcentral lists this ribosomal RNA (447 nucleotides) under uncultured bacterium. Its description in RNAcentral is "bacterial SSU rRNA". It matches the Rfam family "Bacterial small subunit ribosomal RNA", at positions 355 to 825 of the family's 1533-position model. The record is from RNAcentral.
UAGGGAAUUGUUCGCAAUGGGCGCAAGCCUGACGACGCAACGCCGCGUGAGUGACAAAGGCCUUAGGGUUGUAAAACUCUUUCGUCGGGGACGAUAAUGACGGUACCCGAAGAAGAAGCUCCGGCUAACUUCGUGCCAGCAGCCGCGGUAAUACGAAGGGAGCUAGCGUUGUUCGGAAUCACUGGGCGUAAAGCGCACGUAGGCGGAUAGUUAAGUCAGGGGUGAAAUCCUGGGGCUCAACCCCAGAACUGCCUUUGAUACUGGCUGUCUCGAGGUCGAGAGAGGUUGGUGGAAUUCCUAGUGUAGAGGUGAAAUUCGUAGAUAUUAGGAAGAACACCAGUGGCGAAGGCGGCCAACUGGCUCGAUACUGACGCUGAGGUGCGAAAGCGUGGGGAGCAAACAGGAUUAGAUACCCAAGUAGUCCCUGAGCGGGCUGGCAAGGCGCAU